UAGGGAAUCUUCCGCAAUGGACGCAAGUCUGACGGAGCAACGCCGCGUGAGUGAAGAAGGUUUUCGGAUCGUAAAGCUCUGUUGUUAAGGAAGAACGAGUGUGAGAAUGGAAAGUUCAUGCUGUGACGGUACUUAACCAGAAAGGGACGGCUAACUACGUGCCAGCAGCCGCGGUAAUACGUAGGUCCCGGGCGUUGUCCGGAUUUAUUGGGCGUAAAGCGAGCGCAGGCGGUUAGAAAAGUCUGAAGUGAAAGGCAGUGGCUCAACCAUUGUAGGCUUUGGAAACUGUUUAACUUGAGUGCAGAAGGGGAGAGUGGAAUUCCAUGUGUAGCGGUGAAAUGCGUAGAUAUAUGGAGGAACACCGGUGGCGAAAGCGGCUCUCUGGUCUGUAACUGACGCUGAGGCUCGAAAGCGUGGGGAGCGAACAGG
Molecule: ribosomal RNA, 429 nt
Filed under: Bacteroidota bacterium
Lineage: Bacteria; Pseudomonadati; Bacteroidota
Description: Bacteroidetes bacterium partial 16S ribosomal RNA
Rfam family: Bacterial small subunit ribosomal RNA
Source: RNAcentral